RNAcentral lists this ribosomal RNA (428 nucleotides) under uncultured archaeon. Its description in RNAcentral is "bacterial SSU rRNA". It matches the Rfam family "Archaeal small subunit ribosomal RNA", at positions 474 to 903 of the family's 1478-position model. The record is from RNAcentral.
UACCAGCUCUCCGAGUGGUAGGGAUGAUUAUUGGGCUUAAAGCGUCCGUAGCCGGCUUAGCAAGUCUCCUGUUAAAUUCAGCGACCUAAUCGUUGAGCCGCGGGAGAUACUACUAGGCUAGGAGGCGGGAGAGGUCAACGGUACUUCCGGGGUAGGGGUGAAAUCCUAUAAUCCCGGGAGGACCACCAGUGGCGAAGGCUGUUGACUAGAACGCGCUCGACGGUGAGGGACGAAAGCUGGGAGAGCGAACCGGAUUAGAUACCCGGGUAGUCCCAGCUGUAAACGAUGCGAGCUAGGUGUUGGGGUGGCUACGUGCCACUUCAGUGCCGCAGGGAAGCCAUUAAGCUCGCCGCCUGGGGAGUACGGCCGCAAGGCUGAAACUUAAAGGAAUUGGCGGGGGGCACCACAAGGCGUGAAGCUUGCGGUUC